GGAUUAAUUUACUGGUCGUGCUAUUGUACGUACUGGUUUUAUUGAUUCCUCCCUUCUGACGAACUAUGAUGUCAUUAAUUUGGUGUCAUAGGAAAUCAGGACUGUUACUUUGAAAAAAUUAGAGUGUUUAAAGCAGGCAACUUUUGCCUUGAAUAGUUCAGCAUGGGAUAAUGGAAUAUG
Molecule: ribosomal RNA, 180 nt
Filed under: uncultured Glomeromycotina
Lineage: Eukaryota; Fungi; Glomeromycota
Description: partial small subunit ribosomal RNA
Rfam family: Eukaryotic small subunit ribosomal RNA
Source: RNAcentral